CAUCUAUAUAUUUUAAGUGUAAUGAGUGCGCUCUUUUCCUUUAGGUCGAUUUUUUAGAACUAAUAUAUAGCUAAUACUUAUAAUCUACAAGUAGUAUCAGAGCUAGUGGUGCGAGUUUGAUUCCCACAUAGAGCAUGUGUAAGUCAGAAGAUUGUUGACUGAGAAAUAUGUCCAACGUCCUGUCCCAUGGCAUGGGCCAGGUUGAGUCUAAUCACUGUCGAACCUACAAGUGCCAUACAUCUAUACACCUUAAGUCUGAUAAGUUUGGCUUUUCAGUUGGCUAGAUCUUUUGUAAUUGUUAGUUAGUAUUUACGAUCCACACUUGCUCAUCCUAACGGGAAUGAUGCUGAUGGUUUUAAAGAAACAGUUAAAAAUAUAUAGAGAGUUCUCAUUUAUAGAAUUUUUUUGAAAU
This 412-nucleotide long non-coding RNA is filed under the name Ananas comosus (pineapple). Its description in RNAcentral is "long non-coding RNA (ACOM_LNC026965)". The record is from RNAcentral. Lineage: Eukaryota; Viridiplantae; Streptophyta; Magnoliopsida; Poales; Bromeliaceae.